RNAcentral lists this ribosomal RNA (487 nucleotides) under uncultured bacterium. Its description in RNAcentral is "partial 16S ribosomal RNA". It matches the Rfam family "Bacterial small subunit ribosomal RNA", at positions 28 to 507 of the family's 1533-position model. The record is from RNAcentral.
GAUGAACGCUAGCGAUAGGCUUAACACAUGCAAGUCGAGGGGCAGCACAAGGUAGCUUGCUAUCUGGGUGGCGACCGGCGCACGGGUGCGUAACGCGUAUGCAACUUGCCCUAUACAGGAGGAUAACCCGUCGAAAGACGGACUAAUACUGCGUAUGCUCACAACUUGGCAUCAAGUGGUGAGGAAAGAAAUUCGGUAUAGGAUAGGCAUGCGUCCCAUUAGCUUGUCGGUGAGGUAACGGCUCACCAAGGCAACGAUGGGUAGGGGAACUGAGAGGUUUAUCCCCCACACUGGUACUGAGACACGGACCAGACUCCUACGGGAGGCAGCAGUGAGGAAUAUUGGUCAAUGGGCGCGAGCCUGAACCAGCCAAGUCGCGUGAAGGAGGACUGUCUUAUGGAUUGUAAACUUCUUUUAUACGGGAAUAACAAGAGUCACGUGUGACUCCCUGCAUGUACCGUAUGAAUAAGCAUCGGCUAACUCCGUG